This 465-nucleotide ribosomal RNA is filed under the name uncultured bacterium. Its description in RNAcentral is "partial 16S ribosomal RNA". It matches the Rfam family "Bacterial small subunit ribosomal RNA", at positions 28 to 507 of the family's 1533-position model. The record is from RNAcentral.
GACGAACGCUGGCGGCGUGCUUAACACAUGCGAGUCGAACGGAAAGGCCCCCUUGUGGGGUACUCGAGUGGCGAACGGGUGAGUAACACGUGAGUAACCUACCCCUGACUUUGGGAUAACUUCAGGAAACUGGGGCUAAUACCGUAUAGGAGCUCCUGCUGCAUGGUGGGGGUUGGAAAGUUUCGGCGGUUGGGGAUGGACUUGCGGCUUAUCAGCUUGUUGGUGGGGUAGUGGCUCACCAAGGCUUUCACGGGUAGCCGGCCUGAGAGGGUGCCCGGCCACAUUGGGAAUGAGAAACGGCCCAGACUCCUACGGGAGGCAGCAGUGGGAAAUAUUGCACAAUGGACGGAAACCUGAUGCGGCAAAGCCGCGUGCGGGAUGACGGCCUUCGGGUUGUAAACCGCUUUCGCCUGUGACGAAGCGUGAGUGACGGUAAUGGGUAAAGAAGCACCGGCUAACUACGUG